RNAcentral lists this ribosomal RNA (105 nucleotides) under Salmonella enterica. RNAcentral's name for it is "partial 16S ribosomal RNA". It matches the Rfam family "Bacterial small subunit ribosomal RNA", at positions 1 to 98 of the family's 1533-position model. The record is from RNAcentral. RNAcentral also lists the same sequence under 1 other name. Lineage: Bacteria; Pseudomonadati; Pseudomonadota; Gammaproteobacteria; Enterobacterales; Enterobacteriaceae.
UUAAAUUGAAGAGUUUGAUCAUGGCUCAGAUUGAACGCUGGCGGCAGGCCUAACACAUGCAAGUCGAACGGUAGCACAGAGAGCUUGCUCUCGGGUGACGAGUGG